Molecule: unclassified non-coding RNA, 348 nt
Filed under: soil metagenome
Description: partial contains 5.8S ribosomal RNA, internal transcribed spacer 2, and large subunit ribosomal RNA
Rfam family: 5.8S ribosomal RNA (bases 1-120)
Source: RNAcentral
GAUGAAGAACGCAGCGAAAUGCGAUAAGUAAUGUGAAUUGCAGAAUUCAGUGAAUCAUCGAAUCUUUGAACGCACAUUGCGCCCGCCAGUAUUCUGGCGGGCAUGCCUGUCUGAGCGUCAUUUCAACCCUCAUGCCCCUAGGGCGUGGUGUUGGGGAUCGGCCAAAGCCCGCGAGGGACGGCCGGCCCCUAAACCUAGUGGCGGACCCGUCGUGGCCUCCUCUGCGAAGUAGUGAUAUUCCGCAUCGGAGAGCGAUGAGCCCCUGCCGUUAAACCCCCAACUUUCCAAGGUUGACCUCAGAUCAGGUAGGAAUACCCGCUGAACUUAAGCAUAUCAAUAAGCGGAGGA